CAGUCGCCGCGGGAAUACGAAGGGUGCAAGCGUUAAUCGGAAUUACUGGGCGUAAAGCGCACGCAGGCGGUCUGUCAAGUCAGAUGUGAAAUCCCCGGGCUUAACCUGGGAACUGCAUUUGAAACUGGCAGGCUAGAGUCUUGUAGAGGGGGGUAGAAUUCCAGGUGUAGCGGUGAAAUGCGUAGACAUGCGGAGGAACACCGAUGGCGAAGGCAAUCCCCUGGGCCUGCACUGGCGCUCAUGCACGAAAGCGUGGGGAGCAAACAGGAUUAGAUACCCCUGUAGUCCCUGUCUCUUAUAC
This 301-nucleotide ribosomal RNA is filed under the name uncultured bacterium. Its description in RNAcentral is "partial 16S ribosomal RNA". It matches the Rfam family "Bacterial small subunit ribosomal RNA", at positions 509 to 807 of the family's 1533-position model. The record is from RNAcentral.